RNAcentral lists this long non-coding RNA (205 nucleotides) under Gallus gallus (chicken). Lineage: Eukaryota; Metazoa; Chordata; Aves; Galliformes; Phasianidae. The record is from RNAcentral.
UUCCCAGUUGGUGAUGGUGGAGAGGGGGGCGAUGACGAGGAAAGGCCCCCGGAUGCCCACGUUGGAUACCUCCUGCAGGAAGGCGAUGGACUGGAUGGUUUUCCCCAAACCCAUCUCGUCGGCCAGGAUGCAGUUUUGCCUGUUGUACCAGUUGAACAGCAACCAGUUGACCCCUUCCAGUUGGUACUCGCGGAGCUGGUUGUGG